Molecule: ribosomal RNA, 484 nt
Filed under: uncultured bacterium
Lineage: Bacteria
Description: partial 16S ribosomal RNA
Rfam family: Bacterial small subunit ribosomal RNA
Source: RNAcentral
GACGAACGCUGGCGGCGUGCUUAACACAUGCAAGUCGAACGAUGAUGCUGGAGCUUGCUCCAGUUGAUUAGUGGCGAACGGGUGAGUAACACGUGAGCAAUCUGCCCUUGACUCUGGGAUAACUGCGGGAAACUGUAGCUAAUACCGGAUACUUUCACCGGGGGGCAUCCUCUGGUGAUGAAAGAAUUUCGGUCAAGGAUGAGCUCGCGGCCUAGCAGCUUGUUGGUGAGGUAACGGCUCACCAAGGCGACGACGGGUAACCGGCCUGAGAGGGUGACCGGUCACACUGGGACUGAGACACGGCCCAGACUCCGACGGGAGGCAGCAGUGGGGAAUAUUGCACAAUGGGCGCAAGCCUGAUGCAGCAACGCCGCGUGAGGGAUGAAGGCCUUCGGGUUGUAAACCUCUUUUAGCAGGGAAGAAGCGAAAGUGACGGUACCUGCAGAAAAAGCACCGGCUAACUACGUGCCAGCCGCCGCCGUAA